ACUCCUACGGGAGGCAGCAGUGGGGAAUAUUGCACAAUGGGCGCAAGCCUGAUGCAGCAACGCCGUGUGAGUGAAGAAGGUUUUCGGAUCGUAAAACUCUGUCCUAAGGGAAGAAACAAAUGACGGUACCUUAGGAGGAAGCCCCGGCUAACUACGUGCCAGCAGCCGCGGUAAUACGUAGGGGGCAAGCGUUAUCCGGAAUCACUGGACGUAAAGGGUGCGUAGGCGGCUUAGCAAGCCAGGGGUGAAAGGCAUUGGCUCAACCAAUGUAAGCCUUUGGAACUGUUAAGCUUGAGUGCAGGAGAGGUAAGUGGAAUUCCUAGUGUAGAGGUGAAAUUCGUAGAUAUUAGGAGGAACACCAGUGGCGAAGGCGACUUACUGGACUGUAACUGACGCUGAUGCACGAAAGCGUGGGUAGCGAACAGGAUUAGAUACCCUGGUAGCACAGAG
Molecule: ribosomal RNA, 450 nt
Filed under: uncultured bacterium
Lineage: Bacteria
Description: bacterial SSU rRNA
Rfam family: Bacterial small subunit ribosomal RNA
Source: RNAcentral